CCUAUUGCCACUGUCCUGAGAAAGGGUCUACGAAUGUCUGAGUCUCAGUCUCCUCCUCGACUCACAUAAUCUAGGUUUAAAUCUAGCUUUGUCACCUCGUGGCUGUGUGAUUUUUGACAAGUUACUUAAACCUGAUCCGCAGGUACUACAGCUUUAAAAUGGGGCCAACAGAAGUACCUUGAACGCAGGUGUUGCUCAGAUUUCAGGCAAUAAGCAUGAAGUGCUCACCACAGCUUCUGAUCUAUCAUCAGAGCUCGUCUCCUUGUGGUUGCUCCUGCUCUUACGAGUCGGCAUAGAAAGGAGGCUGGUGUUCCAGGCUCACCCUGGUGGCCCGUCCCAAUUGAAAGCAUUGGCUUUACCAUUUUUUAGUUGAAGAAACUGAAGCUAGAAAAUUAAAGCCACAAAGCUAGGAGGCGAUGCAGCAGAAAUUUGAACCCAGGACAUGCUGGUGCGACUGCAAACCCAAGUGAUUUCCACUCUCUGUGCUGCCUCCCUGGAAGGCCUGAAUGCACUCUUGACGGGCUGUGUUGGGUCGUGAGCAUCAGUCUGGCUCAUGGCUUCCUUCAGUGCAGAGGAAGUUAACACCGGAGGGAACAGAUGAGCGGAUAAUGUGAGCCUGGAAAUAUGACUUUGCUGCACUUCACCAGAUGAGUUCGAGCGGAAUACCAGAUGGUGCUACCUCAUUUGUGUUUUUACAAAUAUGCAAUUCUUUUAUUUUUUUAAAGAAGAAAUAGAGAUCAUGUUGGUCCCAGGAAAAUAUAAAAAUUCUUAUGUUUUGCUGCAAUGUUGCCUUGUUGUCCUAUCUCAUAUAAGGAUGAUAUAAGCCUUAUUACAACAUAUAUGUGUGUUUUAAGAUUUUUAUAAUACUUUGUUUAAAAUACCCCUGUAUUUUUCCUGUUAUAAAGCAAUAUGUGUUCAUACUAAAACAUUUAGAACAUAUAGAUAAGUAAUAAUACUACCAUACUGAAUUGGCGACUGUUAACUAUUUGGUGCAUAUCCUUUCAUAAAUAUAUUGAUGCAUUUUUCUCAAGAGCUCCACUUUUAAAAUGUUCUUAACUGUACCAAAGAUGCUGAUUGGACAAAUGUUUCUUUAGGCUUUAUGAUCUUCUCAACAAACACUUUUAUUCAUCUCAUUACCGGGCACUCCUGUCCACACAAUUGCUCAUGCUGGAUAUCUAGCAGUCAGUUUUGGUACCUCCUUCUCCCCUCACCUCCCACAUCUGAUCUGUUACCAAGUCCUAUUGAUUCUACCUGUCUUCAUCCACCUUGCUGCAUCUCCACUGCCAUCACGUGCUUACUGGCCCAUGCAAAUAUUUCUUGCUGCCUGGAAUGCUCCCCUUUGUUCAUCUCCGUACCUCUUGCUCUCCCGAGGCCCCUUCCCUCUUGUCUUCACCUUCCUAAUAACUGCUUGCCCUUUAGAUUUCAUUUUUUGGUAUCAUUUCUUCCAGGAAACCCUUUCUGAUAAACCCAUCCAGACUGGAUUUGGUAUGUCUUCUGUAUGCUUUCUUAGCACCAUAUAUACGUCUCUAUUAUGCCACUUUUCACCCUGGAACUGCACCCUGUUUACCUUGCCGUGUUCCUCACUGUGUUCACUUAGCAAGUGCCUGCCCUUGCAGGUGAUUGAUACGUAUUGUUGGAUGGAUGAAUGGGCAUAGUAGGAAAUUAGGUUUAAUGGGAUCAGUUUUGGCCUCUGAGAACCAUAUUGAUUUUUGAGUAAAGGAGUGAUGCAGAAACACCUGACUUUAGAACUGGUAGUUUAUGGAGGACAAAUUGAAAAGAAAUGAGGUAAACUAAAGAGUACUACCAGGAGAUUGCUGCCUGAUUGAAGGGGAAAGUACCAACAACAUUGACUCUUGUUAUUGGGAAUAGGAAGGUACGAAUAUGAGGUCCCUCAAAUGAAUAAGCAAAGACCUGCUCCUGGUCACUCUUGGGUUAAAUAAUGCAAGUGGAACUGUCAGGGGUCCAUCCCAAAUAGCUCAGACAGACAAUUCUAACAGAAGAGGUGAUGGCUACAGGCUAGAAAGACACUUUCAGAAAGGUAGGUGGCGGCGGAGGGGGGGGGGGCUCGCUAAAAUUGCCCUUUUCUUUCCCACCACCUUCUCCUCAGCAACGGGUUCACCUAGUUCAACUCUCUCUCAUCUGGUGACACAAACUUUCUCCCAGGGGGAGGGGAUCUGACUGCCCUUCUGGGCGGUGUAGCUAUUCUCCCAAGAGCUGCUGUUUGCUUUUCUGAGUUUGCAUUUUAACAUGGACUAGUUGCAGUAGUAAUAGAAGGAACAGCACGUAACACAAUCUGUCAUCCCAAAGUUGGGAAAUAGAGCCAGGAGGUUAAUUCCUGGUGUUUGCAAAUACUGAGGAAACACUUCAAAAACAACAUAUGUACUUGUGUGUAGGUCAUACAAUGGAUCAUAAUUAUAAACAAUAGCAUUCUUGAAUAAAAAGGGAAAAUGAUGUCAUCGUAGAGCCGUAAGUAAUGAGCAAGUAUUUAAAGUCAGCUUACUGUAUUCACUAUAUUAGUAUACUGUGUGUGUGGUGAGUGUGCACAAGGAGGAUGAAGAAUAGUCUUUGCCCUCAGGGAGCUUGUACUUUGGGUGAGGAGAUAAGCUGUAGACUUAUGGAUGCGUAAAUAAAAAUAUAGGAGUAACUAAUUUAAUUUAUGGGUGGAUGAUUACUUAAGGCUCUGGGUUUUAGGUCUCCAGCCAACUCAAGGAGAAUUAAGCAACACAGGGGAAUUUAUUAUGAGGAGACAGGAACAUACCACUGGAGCAGGAAAGCAGCAGGGACUCCAAAAAGGAGCUGGAAGGACUGGGAAGCUGCCACCUCCCUUCUCUGUUUUCCAUCCACCCCCCAACCCUCAGCCCCACCACUGACUCAUUUUCUGAGGUGCUCCAGAGUGCCCAGGUGGGCAUGUUGCUGACUGGCUAUUUGAUUCCAAUUCAAAAUUUUCAGUUGAAGAAAUCUGAUUAUACUAACUGGGUUCAACAUCCAUCCUUAGUCUGACCAACCCUGAUUGCACAGUUGUGUGGUGGAAAUAGAGCUGUCAGGGCUCAGAGAGGCCAUUUUCAGAGAAGACGCCCAUUAUAGUGUAAAUAUUUUGUU
This 3099-nucleotide long non-coding RNA is filed under the name Equus caballus (horse). RNAcentral's name for it is "lncRNA (ENSECAG00000055875.1)". The record is from RNAcentral. Lineage: Eukaryota; Metazoa; Chordata; Mammalia; Perissodactyla; Equidae.